UACACAUGCAAGUCGAACGGCAGCACAGGAGAGCUUGCUCUCUGGGUGGCGAGUGGCGGACGGGUGAGGAAUAUAUCGGAAUCUACCCUUUCGUGGGGGAUAACGUAGGGAAACUUACGCUAAUACCGCAUACGAACUGAGGUUGAAAGCGGCGGACCGCAAGGCGUCGCGCGGAUGGAUGAGCCGAUAUCCGAUUAGCUAGUUGGCGGGGCAAAGGCCCACCAAGGCGACGAUCGGUAGCUGGUCUGAGAGGAUGAUCAGCCACACUGGAACUGAGACACGGUCCAGACUCCUACGGGAGGCAGCAGUGGGGAAUAUUGGACAAUGGGCGCAAGCCUGAUCCAGCCAUGCCGCGUGUGUGAAGAAGGCCUUCGGGUUGUAAAGCACUUUUGUUGGGAAAGAAAAGCGGUCGGUUAAUACCCGGUCGUUCUGACGGUACCCAAAGAAUAAGCACCGGCUAACUUCGUGCCAGCAGCCGCGGUAAUACGAAGGGUGCAAGCGUUACUCGGAAUUACUGGGCGUAAAGCGUGCGUAGGUGGUUUGUUAAGUCAGAUGUGAAAG
RNAcentral lists this ribosomal RNA (561 nucleotides) under uncultured Gammaproteobacteria bacterium. Its description in RNAcentral is "bacterial SSU rRNA". It matches the Rfam family "Bacterial small subunit ribosomal RNA", at positions 50 to 600 of the family's 1533-position model. Lineage: Bacteria; Pseudomonadati; Pseudomonadota; Gammaproteobacteria. The record is from RNAcentral.